CAAUCAGCGACCUGUGUUCGAACCGCAAUCGUUUAAACUGCGCUGCGAUCACAACACUUCAUAAAACGAGCCACCCCUGGCAUUAUUGACACACUGACAAUACCUACAGUGGAAAUACCUGACGAUUUGUGAAACGAGACUCGAUAAACUUCAGAUCAUGGAGGAUGACGGCGAGUGGAUGAAGCUGCCUGUCGACCAGAAGUGUGAACACAAGGCAUGGAAAGCGAGGUUAACUGGCUACGAGGAAGCUCUGAUAGUCUUCCAGAGGAUCGACGACG
Molecule: long non-coding RNA, 278 nt
Organism: Gadus macrocephalus (Pacific cod)
Lineage: Eukaryota; Metazoa; Chordata; Actinopteri; Gadiformes; Gadidae
Exons: 3
Source: RefSeq, a predicted model, not a curated record